AAGAGUAUGAAUCCACUCGACAAGGUGGAAGGGAUCAUGGAUUGAUUCGUCUGGUCUUAAACUUAUAGUUUCUGUUUUCCACAUGAGUAGAGGCUUGUUUUUAUACUUUUAAACACACUUUUUGUGUGUGCUCUUCUGGACGGAUGGCCGGUGAAAGAUUAUCUCAUCCGGAGGAAUUGAACGUUCCAGCUGUGGUCACAGUUCGCCUCAUCAGGUCAUUUGAACAAAGAAACUUCAAGCCUGUGGUGUUCCAGCAGGUCAGCCUUAACCAGACCGUGCAGGACUUCAUGCGCUGGGUGAGAGACGAUAUUGCCACAAGGGACGGACUUCCUCCUCCUUUCAGAAAGUAUGGAUACGACACUAUGAAGAUCAUUCAUCAAGCUCACAGUUCAAAGACAAGUGAGUUGGUAAUGAGUUUGGAUGAUGAUGAAAAGUUAAUUUUACAAGAUGACCAAACCCUCAAAGCUGCUGGAGUUGAGUUAUUGAAGAUGGUGAUAGCUGUUGGCAGGAAAGAUCUUCUAACACAGACAGUACUACACUGAAUCUGAAGAAGCCUCUAACAGAUGAUGUUCUGCCUUCCCAAGAUAGCAUUGUGAAGAGGAUGGUCAGGGUUGUCCAUAAUUGUCUUGAUCCUAUGAAGAAUCCUUCUUUGCAUAAUAAUCUCCAUAGUCGUCCCCAGAACAGAACCAGCCUUCUUUAUCAGACUGUUGAGUCUUUUUAGGUCCCUUGUUCUGAUGCUACUGCCCCAAGAGAUGACAGCAGAAGAGAUAACACUUUCAACAACAGACUUAUAGAAGAUCUGCAGCAUCUUUCUGCAAACCUUGAAGGAUCUUAGCUUCCUCAAGAAGUGCUGUUGCUUCACUGUUGUGUCUUCAUUCCAGUCUGUUGUCCAGAUGAACACAGAGCUAAUGAAACAGAAGUGGGAUUCUUCAGAAAAGAAGAUUAUGUUUUCUAUAAAGCAAACCCCAAAUCAAAAUGGUGAGCAAACAGUGGAGAUUUUCAGCUUGGUUCUUCCUGGAACCACUGCCAGAAUAACAACAACCAGGACUUCCAUUGUGAUGUAAAAAUGUGGGUGUUUUUAUUUUAUUUUAUUUUUUUAUUUUAGUUGAAGGAACAGUAUAACACUGACCUAUUAUGUCCCUUUAUUAAUAUGGUAUGUCUCUGAUACAUGUUACCAUUGAAAUGUAUAUGUUGUGAUUAGUUUUACUAAUAUGUUAAUAAACUUUGAAUAACUGUUCUUCAUUACUGUGUAACAGUAAUAACACAAUAAAGGUAAAGGUAA
RNA transcript from Xiphophorus hellerii (green swordtail), 1282 nucleotides. It is a transcript of the gene named chromosome 7 C2orf76 homolog, with no coding region annotated. The transcript is spliced from 6 exons. The record is from RefSeq and is a predicted model, not a curated record. Lineage: Eukaryota; Metazoa; Chordata; Actinopteri; Cyprinodontiformes; Poeciliidae.